This 464-nucleotide ribosomal RNA is filed under the name uncultured Bdellovibrio sp. Its description in RNAcentral is "bacterial SSU rRNA". It matches the Rfam family "Bacterial small subunit ribosomal RNA", at positions 29 to 505 of the family's 1533-position model. The record is from RNAcentral. Lineage: Bacteria; Pseudomonadati; Bdellovibrionota; Bdellovibrionia; Bdellovibrionales; Pseudobdellovibrionaceae.
AACUAACGCUGGCGGCGCGCCUAAUACAUGCAAGUCGAACGGGGAAGCACCUUCGGGUGUUGUACUAGUGGCGCACGGGAGAGUAACGCGUAGAUCAUCUACCUUCGAGAGAGGGAUAACUAACCGAAAGGUUGGCUAAUACCUCGUAAGACCACAGGGAUUAAUGUCCCAGGGGUAAAAGGUUUCGGCCGCUUGAAGAUGAGUCUGCGUCCCAUUAGCUUGAUGGUGGGGUAACGGCCUACCAUGGCUACGAUGGGUGACUGGUCUGAGAGGAUGAUCAGUCUCACUGGAACUGAAACACGGUCCAGACUCCUACGGGAGGCAGCAGUAGGGAAUAUUGCACAAUGGAGGAAACUCUGAUGCAGCGACGCCGCGUGAGUGAAGAAGGACUUCGGUUUGUAAAGCUCUGUUCUUAGGGAGUAAGAAAGUGAAAGUACCUAAGAAGAAAGGGGCGGCUAACUUCG